UUCAGCUCAUCUGAUCUGAAUUUCUCCACAUCCUUUGGACUAAAUGUCCCCUCUGUUCCCCACCCCAACCCUUCCCAUGUUGCUCAUUGAUAAUUUUAAUUACAUAGAUUUUAUACCACAUACAGCCCUAUUUCCCUCACCAGUCUCUGAUUCCUGAGCCAGUUUGAAAGCAUUCCUUCAGGACUCCCCCUCAUAUUGUAGCACUAAGUCAAAAUAUUUAUUUUUCAGUUAUAUUUUCAUGCCUCCCAUACCUUUUAAGCAAUUUUUGGGUGGAGGUCUUUUUGAGACAGGUUUUUGCUAUACAGUUCAGACUGGCCUUCAACUCACUUUGUAGCCUAUGCUGGCCUCAAACUCACAGGGAUCCUCCUGCCUCAGCCUCCAGAGUGCUAGGACACAGGCAUACACCACUACACUUGGCUUUGUCUUGAAUUUUUAAAAUAUACAUAAUUUUAUUACAAAUUUAAAAAAAAACCACAAAAUACAUCAUCCUAAAAAAAAUACCCAAAACUUACUAUCGGUACAGUUCCUGCAAAUUUGUUGUGCUACCAUACACAUGAAAGAAACCAUUAAAUAUUUAGGAACAUUCAACAUCAAAAGCUUUAAAAUCUAACUGUACGUAGUAGAUCCUCAAAAAGCUACAACCUGAAUUUUUUAAAAAAGUGUUUUUUCUACAAAGAAUCUUAUCAGCUAUACAAAAAUCUGUACAGUUUUUAUACUGAAGCUAAUGUUGAGCUGCACUUGAAUUCACAUUCUUAGCAAAACAAUUGCCUGAGCACACAUAUACUCCACAUGCCAUUACAGGACAGCCACUUAUUCUUCAUCUUCAUCUUCUCCUCCUCAUCUUCCUCUUCUUCCUCUUCCUCCUCCUCCUCCUCACCUCCUGGUUCAUUCUUCUUUGAGCCUGUUGGCCUACCAAGACCCUUCUUUCCUGCUUCACUUUUGCCAUUGGCAUGGUAUGCAGCAAUAUCCUUUUCAUAUUUCUCUUUUAGCUUAGCUGCUUUUUGUUCAUAUGGCUGUUUAUCUUUGGCUGACUGCUCGACCACAUUUCAUCCAAUUUCUUUUCAGUAUCUCCAAUGGACAGGCCUGGGUGUUCGCUUUUGGUCUUUGGGCGAUGUUCAGAGCAAAGCAGGAAGAAGGCAGAUGGUGGUCUUUUCGGAGCAUUCGGAUCUUUCUUCUUUCCUCUCUUAUCGCCACCCUUGCUGGGACAUGGUCUUCCAUCUCUCUGAGGACUUCUUGGAGAAUUCGGCGAAGUUGACCGAGGAGUGGGGGUGCUUCUUCAUGUGCUCCUGGAGGCAGGUCUGCACGAAGAAGGCCUACGAGGACAUCUUGCCCCGCGGCUUGUUGGGGGUCUCCCUUGCCCAUGGCAGCGCGGCCUGGUGCAAGGUUCUCCUCAGAGCGGCCGAGUCCGACUGAGACGCUUCCUCCCUAGAGCUCCGGAGUGAACUCAGUCUUGAAUUUUUUUUUAAAUUUUAUUUUAAAGAGAAAAUAUAAAAACACUGAUAUAGAAUUUCAAAACAAGAUAAUAAGAAAUUGACAAUGGUUAUUAUAUUGUCUAUUGUUAUCUUCAAAGUAGUUGUUCAGAUUCAAUCUUGAAUUUUAAGCAUAUCCUGAGAAGCAUAUUUCUAUAAAGUAUAUAUAGCACUUAGCAUGUUGAUGGUGAUUUAUUCGAAUUGUUUUCAUUUUCGUUUUGAGGUACUGUGGAUUGAACCCAGGGCCUUCACACUGAGCUAUAUCCCUAGCCUAUUUUUUAUUUUGAGACAAGUUCUCACUAAAUCACUAACUUUCCUAGGCUGGGUUUGAACUUGGAAUCUUCUUGCUUCAGCCUCUCAGAGUGCUGGGAUCACAAGAAUGCAUCUCCCAGCCUGAUGGUAAAACUUGUUUUGUUUUGCUUUUUAUCUUUUUGAGACAGGGUCUCCUAUGCAGUUCAGGCUGACCUUGAGCUCACUUUGUAGCCCAGGCUGGCCUGGAACUCAUAACGAUCCUUCUGCCUCAGCCUCCCAAGUGCUGGGAUUACAGGCAUGCACUGCCACGCCCAGCCCUAAAACUUGUUUUGAAGAUGCUGUUUAUCCUGUUCUUUAAAACCCUGUGCAAGGAGUAAUAUGAUGAAUUCUUUCAAUUAUCUUAGGGGAAAAUAACAAGAGUGGUCCCUUCCAUUGGAUUUGUAUGUCCUCUUUGUUGAACACAAAAACUAUGUAAUACAAUGUUUUUUCCUCCCAAAACUAUGUAAUACAAUGUGAUUCAGCAAAAUCACCUGCAUCAGCUCAUCUUGGAAACUCGAAACCUUUACUCUGCAUAAGGUAGCUCUUCUGUUGCUUUCCCAAUCAUUAUAUUGUUUAACUUGAGACAGUUGUGUUAGUUUUCUAGGACUGCUAUAAAAAUUAUCAUAAGCUGGAAGCCCUAAAACAACAGAAAUCUAUUCUCUCAUAGUUGUGAGGAGCUGGAAGUCCAGAACAUGCACUUCAAUAGGGGUACUUUCUGGAGACUCUGAGGAUGAAUCUGUUUUAUGCCUCUGCCCAUGCUUCCAAUGACUAUCAGAAUUCCUUGGCAUUUGGUCCUCUUUUCUUCACAUCCCCCUUCCCUGUAUGUCUCUCUGUCUCUUCUCCUCUUCUUAUAAAGACACCUGUCAUUAUUAGGGCCACCUAAUCCAGCAUAUACUUAUCCUAACCCAAUUACAUCUGUAAAGACCCUAUUUCCAAAAAAUGAUUACUCUCUGAGUUUCCAGGUGGGCAUGAGUUUUGGG
RNAcentral lists this long non-coding RNA (2740 nucleotides) under Chinchilla lanigera (long-tailed chinchilla). RNAcentral describes it as "lncRNA (ENSCLAG00000028652.1)". The record is from RNAcentral. Lineage: Eukaryota; Metazoa; Chordata; Mammalia; Rodentia; Chinchillidae.